This is a long non-coding RNA of Schistocerca cancellata (South American locust), 1451 nucleotides long. RefSeq lists it as uncharacterized. The transcript is spliced from 3 exons. The record is from RefSeq and is a predicted model, not a curated record. NCBI's taxonomy places the organism in Eukaryota, Metazoa, Arthropoda, Insecta, Orthoptera, Acrididae.
GCUUUGUUCUUCACUGUCAUACUGCCCGUGUAUCUUGAGUGGUUGUGUUUUCGCUAUCGAGCAAAAUGUCUCAGGUGUAUGAAAACAUCUUUCGUGACGCUCUGAAAGAUUUCAGAGGAUGGCUUGAUUUCAGGCUAUUGUAAUUCGUUGGAGGAGGUAAAACAAAGCAUUUCUUCAAGCAAAUGCAGGAACAUGUCCCUAUCCCCUUUUUUGGUUGUGCAUUUGCAGUGGAGAGUGUGUGGUCAAGGCACUGUGUUUUGGGGCCGAAAUACUAUAAAAGUAAAGAGUCUAGUGUACCUGAGCACUUGGUAAUAUCAUGCUGUGUUAAGAUAGACUUACUUUCCAUAAAACAAGUUCGUUACAGGGAAAGUUUAUUAAAUAAAUUUUAUAGUAGUUCUUUACCCUCUUUAGGAAGACCAUGUGACUCCUCGUAAGAGAUUGAGGAUCAUGGAUACUGGAAAAUCCAACUGCCCAACAACUUUAAAUAUGAAGUGUAUAAGGGUGUAUCCUGAUUACAGUAUGCACUCAGCAACUGAACACAGGGAUACCAAGGCAAAAGUUCUUGCAAGUCUACAGAAAGAUUUGGCAUUGCCAUGCCCGCCGAAGGGCUACCUACGUUAUUAUUUGACUGCUUCUCCAGCAAGUGCGCACACACACAUGCUACUGAAAGUGUUGAAGCAAGUGGGUACAUACAUCCUUCACUUGUAAAGGAAAUCAAAAACUUAGUAACUCAGUGGAAUGACAUCUCUCAAAGUCAUUAAGUUGGCUCUAGAUAGAUUUGUUGAAAUCAAUUUCAUUGGGACACACAUACCAGGUCAAAUGAAUACUACCUUUUACCCCACAGAGAAAACUAUUUACAGUCACAUUUAUCGGACCCUUUAUAGUACGAAUAAAGUAUUGUUUGACGAGACUAGACUGCAGAAUCAGGUUGAUGAGUGGCACAAAGACUCGAGCAAUCACAUGAUUUAUUAUAGGCAUUGUAUGGAAGCCAAUGGAGAAGUGAAACCAUUACUUUUUUGCUAUCAGAGCAGUUGGCAGAGAGAUCUUUUGAAGAAGUAUGGGGGUAGUUGUUUGUUAGAUGCAACAUACAAAACAUCAUAUGAUAUUCCUUUAUUUUUUAUAGCUGUGAAGAGUAAUGUGGGCUAUUUGGUUGUCGGUUUUUUUCAUUCAGAUUGAAAAUGCAAGAUCCAUUCAUGAAGCACUAGACAUUUUCAAGGACUGGAACAAGGAUUGGAAUCCCCUCUAUUGGGUUACCGAUUUCUCGGAGUCGGAGAUAAAUGCAAUUGAGCAAGCAUUCCCUCAGACAAAAGUUUACUUGUGCCUUUUCCAUCCAAAACAGGCAUGGGGAAGAUGGUUGAAAAAAAGGAUAAUCUACGUGUACCAAAUGACAUGAAGAGAUUUCUGGACAUGUGGCAAGAAAUUUCAGAAUCAUCAACAGAGAGAGAAUUUAG